Herpailurus yagouaroundi (jaguarundi) is the source of this 1591-nucleotide long non-coding RNA. RefSeq lists it as uncharacterized. The transcript has 2 exons. The record is from RefSeq and is a predicted model, not a curated record. NCBI's taxonomy places the organism in Eukaryota, Metazoa, Chordata, Mammalia, Carnivora, Felidae.
CGCCUCUAGCAGAGAGGUCACCUCUGGUUUCUUUCUUAGAAGGGCACUAAUGCCACUGAGGGGGCUCCACGCUUAUGACCUACUCACCUCCCAGAGGCCCCUCUCCUGAUAUUGUCACACUGGGGACUGGGCUUCAAUGCGUGGAUUUGGGGGGACACUCACUUUCAGUCCGUGGACUAUCUUGUAUCUUUCACGCACCUGUUGUGUGUCCCCUUCUCAGUCUUCUCAUGCUUUAGCUCAAGUCUUCCUUGUCCUGGUCUGCGUGGCCUCUAGAUGUUUUCUCCCUGUGCUUGUGUGUGUUUUUCUCUGAUGACACUGCACACAUCCAGAGUGUGCUGCAAGGUCUUGUGUGCGGGAUCAUACCUGUCUGUCUGUCUGUCUGUCUUCUCCUCUAAGUCCUUAGGGCCUCCGUCCCCAAUCUCUUGUGCACCCACAACAACAACAACAAUGACAACCAGUGGCAAUUAAGCUCCCCGUGGGUAGGGCUUUUUAUACUUUUCCUGUUUUAUUCACGGCUGGUCUCCAGGACCUAGAACAGUGCACGACCUACCAUUGGUGUCGAAGAAAUAGGGUAUGAAUGAAUCCACUCAUACCUAUUUCCAUCCAUCUGACAAGUGCGUCUUCCCCAGCUCCUGUCCCUGUCUCCUGAUUUUUCCUCUUUCCCUCCCUAUCAGGUGUCACACACGAAUACAAACCACUCUGAUAGCACCUUCCGGAUAAUAGUGGAGAAGAAUGCAUUGGCCACGCCUGUGGCUGCAUCCCUUGGGCUGGGACACAUUAAUCAGCUCUGGCAAAGCUACCCCGACUGGAAGUCACAAAGGGGGUUGCUGCUUGGUUGUCCUGUCCUGUAGAGUAUGUUGGGAUUGUUUCCAGGCCAUAUUGGUGAAUGAAAUAGAUGUGUGUUGGGUUCAUACCCUGCACCCCCCUCAGUCUUCAACCUCUGGUGUUCCUUCCAGAUGAUGAGACUCAGGGACCGCCGUUCAACUCCAUUAUCCUCGUAAUUGCUGCUUUGCAAAGUUCUCCAGCAUCUGAGAUGUUGCGCCUACAGUGCAUUCCUUCCCUUCCACGCUGUCUGUCCCAGUGCGCCGGCGGUCAAAGUUUUAACACUGCGCCGUGACAUCCCGCCAAGGGCUUUCAGUACCCCACCUGCCACCAGUGUGGUAGAUGGAUGCCGUGCGCUCCAGGGCUGAGUUCUCCCAUCUGAAUUGCUACUUGUAGACAAUCUGAUGGACUGGGCGCCUUGGGAGCGUAAGGAAGAUGCCAAGGAUAAUUCUUCAGCCUUUGUUCUGAUGAAGAGCACAGGGCGCGUGUGUAUUCCCACCGCAUCGAUUUGAAAACACUUGCGUGUGUUUGCAGAGGAGGGGACUUGCCAGUUGCAAUGGUGGUGGGCCUCACGGGCGCAGGCACGCCUGGCGGGGACCUAGGGACCAGCAGGGGAUUUCCAUCACCCAGAAGAGAGAGGUACCUUAGGCCAAGAGUGAACUUGUUUUAAAUGACAGGAGUGGCUAAAGGCUCAGGGAAAUGAAGAGAAAGAAAGACAAGAUUCGAAGAAUCUGGUAAAUAAAUAGUUAGCCUUUGUGUGUCCUAGGAA